Molecule: transfer RNA, 64 nt
Filed under: Ribes nigrum
Lineage: Eukaryota; Viridiplantae; Streptophyta; Magnoliopsida; Saxifragales; Grossulariaceae
Description: tRNA-Val
Rfam family: tRNA
About the family: Transfer RNA (tRNA) molecules are approximately 80 nucleotides in length. Their secondary structure includes four short double-helical elements and three loops (D, anti-codon, and T loops). Further hydrogen bonds mediate the characteristic L-shaped molecular structure. tRNAs have two regions of fundamental functional importance: the anti-codon, which is responsible for specific mRNA codon recognition, and the 3' end, to which the tRNAs corresponding amino acid is attached (by aminoacyl-tRNA synthetases). tRNAs cope with the degeneracy of the genetic code in two manners: having more than one tRNA (with a specific anti-codon) for a particular amino acid; and 'wobble' base-pairing, i.e. permitting non-standard base-pairing at the 3rd anti-codon position.
Source: RNAcentral
AGGGCUAUAGCUCAGUUAGGUAGAGCAACUCGUUUACUCUACGGUUCGAGUCCGUAUAGCCCUA